RNAcentral lists this microRNA precursor (78 nucleotides) under Schistosoma mattheei. RNAcentral's name for it is "mir-3492 microRNA precursor family". It matches the Rfam family "mir-3492 microRNA precursor family". The record is from Rfam by way of RNAcentral. Lineage: Eukaryota; Metazoa; Platyhelminthes; Trematoda; Strigeidida; Schistosomatidae.
AGGCUUUUUAAUCCUUGCCGAGUUUUCGUCAAACACAAAAAUACUAGGGCUGAUGAAGCUUUCAAUAUGAAGGAACCU